RNAcentral lists this transfer RNA (73 nucleotides) under Stegodyphus mimosarum. It matches the Rfam family "tRNA". Rfam says of the family: Transfer RNA (tRNA) molecules are approximately 80 nucleotides in length. Their secondary structure includes four short double-helical elements and three loops (D, anti-codon, and T loops). Further hydrogen bonds mediate the characteristic L-shaped molecular structure. tRNAs have two regions of fundamental functional importance: the anti-codon, which is responsible for specific mRNA codon recognition, and the 3' end, to which the tRNAs corresponding amino acid is attached (by aminoacyl-tRNA synthetases). tRNAs cope with the degeneracy of the genetic code in two manners: having more than one tRNA (with a specific anti-codon) for a particular amino acid; and 'wobble' base-pairing, i.e. permitting non-standard base-pairing at the 3rd anti-codon position. The record is from Rfam by way of RNAcentral. Lineage: Eukaryota; Metazoa; Arthropoda; Arachnida; Araneae; Eresidae.
GCCUUCGUGGUGUAGCGGUCAGCACGCUCGACGCGUAACCGAGAGGUCCGUGGUUCGAUUCCCGGCGAAGGCU